Molecule: ribosomal RNA, 484 nt
Filed under: uncultured bacterium
Lineage: Bacteria
Description: partial 16S ribosomal RNA
Rfam family: Bacterial small subunit ribosomal RNA
Source: RNAcentral
AUUGAACGCUGGCGGCAUGCUUUACACAUGCAAGUCGAACGGCAGCGCGGGCUUCGGCCUGGCGGCGAGUGGCGAACGGGUGAGUAAUGCAUCGGAACGUGCCCAGUAGUGGGGGAUAGCCCGGCGAAAGCCGGAUUAAUACCGCAUACGACCUGAGGGUGAAAGCGGGGGACCGAAAGGCCUCGCGCUAUUGGAGCGGCCGAUGUCGGAUUAGCUAGUUGGUGGGGUAAAGGCUUACCAAGGCGACGAUCCGUAGCUGGUCUGAGAGGACGACCCGCCACACUGGGACUGAGACACGGCCCAGACUCCUACGGGAGGCAGCAGUGGGGAAUGUUGGACAAUGGGGGCAACCCUGAUCCAGCCAUGCCGCGUGCGGGAAGAAGGCCUUCGGGUUGUAAACCGCUUUUGUUCGGGAAGAAAUCCUCUGGGCUAAUACCCCGGGGGGAUGACGGUACCGGAAGAAUAAGCACCGGCUAACUACGUG